CGAGCCGAACCAAUAUCACUC
This 21-nucleotide microRNA is filed under the name Manihot esculenta (cassava). The record is from RNAcentral. Lineage: Eukaryota; Viridiplantae; Streptophyta; Magnoliopsida; Malpighiales; Euphorbiaceae. RNAcentral also lists the same sequence under 2 other names.